UGAGGAAUAUUGGGCAAUGCCCGCAAGGGUGACCCAGCAACGCCGCGUGGAGGAUGAAUGUCGUAAGAUUGUAAACUCCUGUUAGAGGGGAAGAAUAGUACCGGUUGGACCGGUAUAUGACUGUACCCUCAGAGAAAGCCCCGGCUAACUACGUGCCAGCAGCCGCGGUAAUACGUAGGGGGCAAGCGUUGUCCGGAUUUACUGGGUGUAAAGGGCGCGCAGGCGGGAUAAAAAGUCAGUGGUGAAAUCCUACAGCUUAACUGUAGAACUGCCUUUGAUACUUUUAUUCUUGAGUUCGGGAGAGAGAGACGGAAUUCCAGGUGUAGUGGUGAAAUACGUAGAUAUCUGGAAGAACACCAGUUGCGAAGGCGGUCUCUUGGUCCGACACUGACGCUGAGGCGCGAAAGCGUGGGGAGCAAA
RNAcentral lists this ribosomal RNA (420 nucleotides) under uncultured bacterium. RNAcentral describes it as "bacterial SSU rRNA". It matches the Rfam family "Bacterial small subunit ribosomal RNA", at positions 355 to 772 of the family's 1533-position model. The record is from RNAcentral.